RNAcentral lists this long non-coding RNA (212 nucleotides) under Elaeis guineensis (African oil palm). RNAcentral's name for it is "long non-coding RNA (EGUI_LNC075425)". Lineage: Eukaryota; Viridiplantae; Streptophyta; Magnoliopsida; Arecales; Arecaceae. The record is from RNAcentral.
AGAGUACAGAUAUUCAUUGAGAAUGAGAGUACUGAGCGUGACCACCUCGAGCAGUCAUAAAGAAGUCUACCUUCUCGUCGAUGAGUAGCUCGAUGCUGCAGUUGUGUGUCUAGUUCUUUGACCUGAGGUGCAUCGUCGGUUCACCUUGAGUGUGUUAUAGUUUGACUACACCAUAACUUGAUCUCCUAGCCAUCCGAAACCCUGAGGUAUAU